ACGAAGGGGGCUAGCGUUGUUCGGAAUUACUGGGCGUAAAGCGCGUGUAGGCGGGUCUUUAAGUCAGGGGUGAAAUGCCAAGGCUCAACCUUGGAACUGCCUUUGAUACUGGAGAUCUUGAGUCCGGGAGAGGUGAGUGGAAUUGCGAGUGUAGAGGUGAAAUUCGUAGAUAUUCGCAAGAACACCAGUGGCGAAGGCGGCUCACUGGCCCGGAACUGACGCUGAGACGCGAAAGCGUGGGGAGCAAACAGG
Molecule: ribosomal RNA, 252 nt
Filed under: uncultured bacterium
Lineage: Bacteria
Description: partial 16S ribosomal RNA
Rfam family: Bacterial small subunit ribosomal RNA
Source: RNAcentral